RNAcentral lists this ribosomal RNA (738 nucleotides) under uncultured fungus. RNAcentral's name for it is "SSU rRNA". It matches the Rfam family "Eukaryotic small subunit ribosomal RNA", at positions 153 to 904 of the family's 1831-position model. The record is from RNAcentral. Lineage: Eukaryota; Fungi.
UAAUUCUAGAGCUAAUACAUGCUAAAAAUCCCGACCUCCGGAAGGGAUGUAUUUAUUAGAUAAAAAACCAAUGCCUUCGGGCUCCUUGGUGAUUCAUGAUAACUUAACGAAUCGCAUGGCCUUGCGCCGGCGAUGGUUCAUUCAAAUUUCUGCCCUAUCAACUUUCGAUGGUAGGAUAGUGGCCUACCAUGGUUUCAACGGGUAACGGGGAAUUAGGGUUCGAUUCCGGAGAGGGAGCCUGAGAAACGGCUACCACAUCCAAGGAAGGCAGCAGGCGCGCAAAUUACCCAAUCCCAAUCCGGGGAGGUAGUGACAAUAAAUACUGAUACAGGGCUCAAAAGGGUCUUGUAAUUGGAAUGAGUACAAUUUAAAUCCCUUAACGAGGAACAAUUGGAGGGCAAGUCUGGUGCCAGCAGCCGCGGUAAUUCCAGCUCCAAUAGCGUAUAUUAAAGUUGUUGCAGUUAAAAAGCUCGUAGUUGAACCUUGGGUCUGGCUGCCCGGUCCGCCUAACCGCGUGCACUGGUGCGGCCGGAUCUUUCCUUCUGGCUAACCUCAUGCCCUUCACUGGGUGUGCUGCCGAUCCAGGACUUUUACUUUGAAAAAAUUAGAGUGUUCAAAGCAGGCCUUUGCUCGAAUACAUUAGCAUGGAAUAAUAGAAUAGGACGGCGGUCUAUUUUGUUGGUUUCUAGAGCCACCGUAAUGAUUAAUAGGGAUAGUCGGGGCAUCAGUAUUCAAUUG